CCAGUGGCGACACCGUGGGUCCCAGUCCAGUGACGCCGGGAAGGGGUGGUCCAGACCGGUCGCGCCGGGGCACGGUGCGGCUCCCGCGGUCGCAGUGGCAGUUGUCCUGUAGUUUGGGAUGCUCAGAGCCGAGCCGGCGAGCAGGGCAUGGAAGCUAAUGACACAAGAGCUGGUGGAGGCCCGUGGUGAAAAUUUGAUGUGGCCCCAGGAGAGAGGCUGCUGGACAUCAACAUUUAUCCUGCAGAAAGAGAUGAUGGAACAGUCCAUCUCUAGGAAAUAAGGAAUUGACAUUGAUAACAAUAUAAGCCAUUUUGACAAUUAUUUUGGUAUUGAGAAAAGCAGUUCAUUCCCUCUGAACGCUAAUAAAAGGAUUCAGCCAAACUCCUAUCCUGCUGGAUGCCUGUCUCCUUUCAUUUCAUGCUGGAUAUGUUGCCACCUUUUGAAAAUGUGAUGAGAAUAAGCUGAUUUGGGCAUUCCCUCUCUACUGCCCUCCUUAUCCAGUGCUAUGGAUGGAUUCCAGGGCUUCUGUGUGCUGGGCAAGCGCCACAGACACUGCACUGUGCUACGUUGCCAGUCCAUUCUUUGCUUUUCGAGGAUGAAGUCUUUCAACUACCAUCUUUCUGGACCCUGCUCCGAUCUCUACACACUAUCUAA
Meriones unguiculatus (Mongolian gerbil) is the source of this 654-nucleotide long non-coding RNA. RefSeq lists it as uncharacterized. The transcript is spliced from 4 exons. Lineage: Eukaryota; Metazoa; Chordata; Mammalia; Rodentia; Muridae. The record is from RefSeq and is a predicted model, not a curated record.